UACGAAGGGGGCUAGCGUUGUUCGGAAUUACUGGGCGUAAAGCGCGCGUAGGCGGAUAUUUAAGUCAGGGGUGAAAUCCUGGAGCUCAACUCCAGAACUGCCUUUGAUACUGAAGAUCUUGAGUUCGGGAGAGGUGAGUGGAACUGCGAGUGUAGAGGUGAAAUUCGUAGAUAUUCGCAAGAACACCAGUGGCGAGGCGGCUCACUGGCCCGAUACUGACGCUGAGGCACGAAAGCGUGGGGAGCAAACAGG
This 252-nucleotide ribosomal RNA is filed under the name uncultured bacterium. Its description in RNAcentral is "partial 16S ribosomal RNA". It matches the Rfam family "Bacterial small subunit ribosomal RNA", at positions 524 to 776 of the family's 1533-position model. The record is from RNAcentral.